AUAUAUAUAUAUAUAUAUGAUAUUAAGAUCAUUAUUUUGUUUAUGAUCUAUCUCUUGCUAUACCACGUAUAAGUAGGUGUUGAUUUGCAGGAUUUGGUAUGGAAGCUUUGAGCAAGUGUUAUUUUUUGGUUAAUUUGGUUAAUGAAAGUUGUUCUGGCACUUAUUAAUCUAUGAAAAAAAUAAUGUAUGAAUGAAUGUUGUAUUUUUAGUAGAAGAAUGGGAGAG
This 225-nucleotide unclassified non-coding RNA is filed under the name Hevea brasiliensis (rubber tree). The record is from RNAcentral. Lineage: Eukaryota; Viridiplantae; Streptophyta; Magnoliopsida; Malpighiales; Euphorbiaceae.